This 513-nucleotide ribosomal RNA is filed under the name uncultured bacterium. RNAcentral's name for it is "partial 16S ribosomal RNA". It matches the Rfam family "Bacterial small subunit ribosomal RNA", at positions 28 to 507 of the family's 1533-position model. The record is from RNAcentral.
GACGAACGCUGGCGGCGUGCUUAACACAUGCCAGUCGAACGAGAGCGUAGAGAAAGCUUGCUUUUUCUACAAUCUAGUGGCAAACGGGUGAGUAACGCGUAAACAACCUGCCCUACGGAUGGGGACAACAGCUGGAAACGGCUGCUAAUACCGAAUACGUUCCGAAAGUCGCAUGACUAUCUGAAGAAAUGAUGGCCUCUAUUUAUAAGCUAUCGCCGGAGGAGGGGUUUGCGUCUGAUUAGCUAGUUGGAGGGGUAACGUCCCACCAAGGCGACGAUCAGUAGCCGGUCUGAGAGGAUGAACGGCCACAUUGGAACUGAGACACGGUCCAGACUCCUACGGGAGGCAGCAGUGGGGAAUCUUCCGCAAUGGGCGAAAGCCUGACGGAGCAACGCCGCGUGAGUGAAGACGGCCUUCGGGUUGUAAAGCUCUGUUAUAAGGGACGAAUAAUCUUGUGGUUAAUACCCAUGAGAAGUGACGGUACCGUAAGAGAAAGCCACGGCUAACUACGUG